Molecule: long non-coding RNA, 718 nt
Organism: Frankliniella occidentalis (western flower thrips)
Lineage: Eukaryota; Metazoa; Arthropoda; Insecta; Thysanoptera; Thripidae
Exons: 3
Source: RefSeq, a predicted model, not a curated record
UGGGGGAUGCAGGAGGGGGUGGUAGAGAUCGAGCGGCAACUGUGGCAAAUCGAGACGGUCAUGCGGGAAACCUUGAGAAAGUGCCGCCCUUUCUCAAGGAGAAACCAUCAAGUUGCGCCUUGUUCUCAGUAUCUGCAACUAAAAGUAUUGUGGGAACUGGUGGGUGUGAUGACACGUCGUCUUCAGGAUUUACAGCAGCUGGAGGAAGAAUUACUGAUGGGAUAUGAUCAAGUAAGCCAUCUUGACAUAGUGCAAGGCGAUCACAUCUUCUCAUAUUAAGGCUGAAGUCUUACAGAUAAAUCCAAAUGCUUCAAUCGCUUCAGAUUAAUACUGAUUGCCUCCACUGCUUCAUUGCAAAUACUGUAGCACAUACUUAAAAUCAGAGUCUCAAGGCUAGGAUUGUUCAGAGCAAGAGCUUUUAUUCCAGAUUGUGUAACCUGUAAAAGAGAAGAGGUAUUACUCACUUUCUAUUAAAAAUUGCUGUGGUGAUAAAAUAACACGGGGAAACAAUGUAAAUGAGAAACCUAUACACCAAUAUGAUACCUGACAACACUGUGUUAGAUCCAAAGACUUGAGUUCUAAAAACUUAAAUGCAUGGCAUAAACUGAUAUCAGUUAUCCUCGAACACCCUGACAAGUUCAGAUUGCGUAACCCUGUUGUAAAAGAUCACACAUAUUGUAGAAAACAGACAGUAAAUAAAAGAAUGACACAAAAUUAA